GGGAAUAUUGCGCAAUGGAGGAAACUCUGACGCAGUGACGCCGCGUGCAGGAAGAAGGUUUUCGGAUUGUAAACUGCUUUAGACAGGGAAGAACAAGGACAGUACCUGUAGAAUAAGCUCCGGCUAACUACGUGCCAGAAGCCGCGGUAAUACGUAGGGAGCGAGCGUUAUCCGGAUUUAUUGGGUGUAAAGGGUGCGUAGACGGGAGAACAAGUUAGUUGUGAAAUCCCUCGGCUUAACUGAGGAACUGCAACUAAAACUAUUUUUCUUGAGUGCUGGAGAGGAAAGUGGAAUUCCUAGUGGAGCGGUGAAAUGCGUAGAUAUUAGGAGGAACACCAGUGGCGAAGGCGACUUUCUGGACAGUAACUGACGUUGAGGCACGAAAGUGUGGGGAGCAAACAG
RNAcentral lists this ribosomal RNA (402 nucleotides) under uncultured bacterium. RNAcentral describes it as "bacterial SSU rRNA". It matches the Rfam family "Bacterial small subunit ribosomal RNA", at positions 357 to 775 of the family's 1533-position model. The record is from RNAcentral.